This 403-nucleotide ribosomal RNA is filed under the name bacterium. RNAcentral describes it as "partial 16S ribosomal RNA". It matches the Rfam family "Bacterial small subunit ribosomal RNA", at positions 355 to 776 of the family's 1533-position model. The record is from RNAcentral.
GGGGGAAUAUUGCACAAUGGAGGAAACUCUGAUGCAGCGACGCCGCGUGAACGAAGAAGGCUUUCGAGUCGUAAAGUUCUUUUAUAUGGGAAGAUAAUGACGGUACCAUAAGAAAAAGCCCCGGCUAACUACGUGCCAGCAGCCGCGGUAAUACGUAGGGGGCUAGCGUUGACCGGAAUCACUGGGCGUAAAGGGUUCGCAGGCGGAAAUGCAAGUCAGGUGUAAAAGGCAGUAGCUUAACUACUGUAAGCAUUUGAAACUGCAUAUCUUGAGAAGAGUAGAGGUAAGUGGAAUUUUUAGUGUAGCGGUGAAAUGCGUAGAUAUUAAAAAGAAUACCGGUGGCGAAGGCGGCUUACUGGGCUCAUUCUGACGCUGAGGAACGAAAGCGUGGGUAGCAAACAGG